AUUGAACGCUGGCGGCAGGCCUAACACAUGCAAGUCGAGCGGGGUUUUCGGACCUAGCGGCGGACGGGUGAGUAAUGCGUAGGAAGCUGCCCGAUAGAGGGGGAUACCAGUUGGAAACGACUGUUAAUACCGCAUAAUGUCUACGGACCAAAGUGUGGGACCUUCGGGCCACAUGCUAUCGGAUGUGCCUACGUGGGAUUAGCUAGUUGGUGAGGUAAUGGCUCACCAAGGCGACGAUCUCUAGCUGGUUUGAGAGGAUGAUCAGCCACACUGGAACUGAGACACGGUCCAGACUCCUACGGGAGGCAGCAGUGGGGAAUAUUGGACAAUGGGCGCAAGCCUGAUCCAGCCAUGCCGCGUGUGUGAAGAAGACCUUCGGGUUGUAAAGCACUUUCAGCGAGGAGGAAGGGUGGUGUGUUAAUAGCACAUCAUUUUGACGUUACUCGCAGAAGAAGCACCGGCUAACUCUGUGCCAGCCGCCGCAGUAA
This 488-nucleotide ribosomal RNA is filed under the name uncultured bacterium. RNAcentral describes it as "partial 16S ribosomal RNA". It matches the Rfam family "Bacterial small subunit ribosomal RNA", at positions 30 to 523 of the family's 1533-position model. The record is from RNAcentral.